AGAUGAACAAAUGACAAAUAACUAAAAUAAACUCUGUAGAUCUUGAUAGUUAUGAAAUUUUGUAUUUGCUAACUUUUUCAUUUGAGUUCAUCUUGUCAUGUAAAACUGCGUCUUUAAUUGAAAAUUUUCAAAUUCGAUUUUUUCAAACGACCUUAGAUGGAAAAACUCCCUAAAUAAACUUUGUAGAUCUCAAAAAGUUAUGAAACUUUGUAGUUGACAACCUUUUGUUUUGGAAUCAUUUUGUCAUGCAAAAACUAAGUUUGAAUUUCUCAAUUUUGAAAUUCAAACUUUGUAAACAACCUCAGAUGGAGAAACUCUCUAAAUGAAAAUUGUAGAUCCCAAAAAGUUAUGAAACUUUGUAGUUGACAACGUUUUGAUUUGAAAUCAUUUAGAACCUUAAAUAGUCAAUUUACACAUGAUUUGGUAUAAUAUAUGAGAAACCGAAAUGCAAUAUUGACACAAGUGAUAGUGUGGUGCAGCGGUUAAGGAGUUAGACACACAAGAGAGAGGUCUCUUGGGUUAGAAUCCCACUGGCGGCAAUGUUGCGAAAAAUUUUGAAACUUGAGCAGCAGAUGGAGUUGAGUGGGCACAAGACCCCUGCGAAAAUUCCCUUUUUCCCAUUUUUUGAUUUUUUGAUUUUUUUUGAUUUUUUUUGAUUUUCUAUCUUUGCUGAGUGUCGGCACUCAGCAAAGCUUUUGUCGAGUGCCCGAUAAAUGACACUCGGCAAAGAUGACUUUGCCGAGAGUUUUUUUGCCGAGUGCCCUUUGCCGAGUGUGGCACUCGGCAAAGCCUUUGCCGAAUGCAAUAUGGGCUUUGUCGAGUGCCAGAGACACACGGCAAAUCUAGGAAGUCCGGUAGUGUUUGUCCAGUCCCCAGCUUAGCUGAGAAUCCAGCUAGUCCCCAACUUAGCUGAAAACUAUGAAGAAAUAUUACAGUCACGCAAGGUAAAGUGUACACACUUAGUCUCCAAGCAUGCUAGAAGAUAAAGAAUUAUCUUGUAGUAUGGUCAAUGGAAUUUAGUAAAAGCUUUCCAACGCCAUCUGCCAUAUACUUAUCAAGACCCCACACAGGUUGCCCAAGACCAGCACCCUAAUCCGAACAGCAUGGAGCAACUUGAUAACACACUGAUUAGAGAUAGCAAAAAUCCUACCACAAAGGAGUCCCUAGCUUAGCUGGCGAUGUUUGCACGAAGAAUCCAAGUGCUAAGGAGUCCCUAGUUAAGUUGGUGUCUCGAAUAAAAAUUAGGGUACUUAAAACAUGUGGAUCUCAAUAGGCAUCAAUACCAGCUGCAGCCAAUUAAGUGACGAUGACGAAACAUUUCGCCCAACCCUAAGGGAGCAGGCUCUGUCUCGCCCUACCCCAAGCAAGCAGGCCCCACCUCGCCUAACCCCAAGGGAGCGGGCUCCAUCUCGCCCGACCCCAAGGGACCGGGCCCUCACCUGACCCAGGAGACGCAGACCCUCUCUUUGUAACCCUAUGUGGGGAGUUUUCGCCUCACUCGACAACCAUGAGCGUAGAAGCCCUUGGACAAAAGUGGAUAACUCUUGGGUAAAAGGUAGGCGUGAGUCACGAGAUGUACGACCCCUCCAACCACUCCAGGCACUCAUCUCUAAUGCCUCUAACGCCAGGAAGGAGCACACGCUCUGGUAUGAUCCAAGGCAACAUCAGACGAUGUUAGGCAGUCGCACAUCGCUCAGGACCGCUACAAAUGGCACUGUGCUACCAACCCCUAUACUUAUUCUAAAUAAUAACCCACAGUGUAGGAAUUGUGGAACCAACCAUGGUAUGGCCUCCACCUAGGUAGUCGGUUGAGUGUACCAUGAACCCCAAAAGUGUGGAACACCACGCCCAUCCCACGAACGGCCUUGUGUGGCAACAGUGGCCAAUGAUAGAGUGCCAUGGCGCCUUUCCAAUCAUCAUCUACAUGGUAUACAGGGUCGGCAGGACCCACAUGGCACGGAUAAGAUGAGAUGACCCUCUAAAGCCCUUUUUUCUUUUUUUCUUUUUUAGCUUCUCGUACUUCUUCUUUAACCUAAAUGACCAAGUAUGUAACCUAUUCCUCCCCUUAGACUAUUAAAGGGGAGGUAGGGCACCCUUCUUAGGCAUCAAACCAUCGAGCCUACACAUGCAUAAGCUUACACACUCACACUCAUUAGAGACUUGGGGGGCCUCUCCCUCUCUUGCUCGUUUGUAAUUCCUACUACAAAUAAAACAUGCAGAGUAACAUGAUAGCUCUUGACUAGACAUAGGGACAUUCUGCCUGAACCAGUAUACAUUCUUGUGUCCUCUUUGCACACCAUCAUAGCCUAGACACACAUAUUACAAAUUUACUAGUCGGUAGUAGUUUCAAAACACCAAUAGUUCAUGAGGCCCCAGCGUAGCUGAUGAUGAAUUCCAAGCAAUGAGCAAUCUGACCAGGUGGUCAGCGAGCACUAAGCAAUGCAACCUAUUGGUAGACAGCAAAGUGAACGUCGAGGGAAAGUGAGCACCGAGCUAUCUAUCCAAUUGUUUAGCGAUGAAGUCCAACUAAGUCAGAGACGCUAAGCAUAUAACUUCACUGCUGAGAUCCUAAGUGUGCACACUUCAUCUAAGAUGAAGACUUCAAACAAUUUUUACUUGAGCUCCUUAUAUCCUUCUAACAAACCUUGAUUGAGCUUAGCUCCUAGAUGAAUAGCUCAGGUGAUCACUUAGAUGAUUGUCGAACAGCUCAAACAACAUGCUCAACUGCUCGGGUGCUCACUCUUGAUGGUCACAACUUGACAAGCUUGGACAUGCUUAAGAUGGUGUUGCUCAGUGGAUACAAGGUGCUCGGGGACUAGCUAUGGGGCACGUCAUAGGUCGUCAUGUCUCACAAGACAGCGUGAAAACCCUUGCCAAUCAAGGCAAAUUAACUCGGAUAUGCCAGAUUCGAUAAUAUCUACAACUUCCUAUCAUGUAAUCCGAUCUGUAUGGAAACUAUUGACCUAUAAUCCUACCCCCAUGUUCUAUAAGGUAGGUAGGGACCCCCUCAUUUUUUCACCUCAUAUAACACAAUCCAUAGAGACAUAGGACGUAGGGUAUUAUGUCAUGCUAAUGGCCUAAACCUACUACAUCAUGUUCUAUAUCAUGUCUAGUUCAUCUCUUGCACACCUCCAUCGACUCAUGUACUACUCAAAGGACCAAGGAUGCGCCUAGAGGGGGGGUGAAUAGGCGUUUCUGAAAAUUUACAACUUAAAAUGCGG
RNAcentral lists this long non-coding RNA (3221 nucleotides) under Sorghum bicolor (sorghum). RNAcentral's name for it is "long non-coding RNA (SBIC_LNC003600)". The record is from RNAcentral. Lineage: Eukaryota; Viridiplantae; Streptophyta; Magnoliopsida; Poales; Poaceae.